AAGUCGAGUUCGCGUAACUCUCAAAUUUUAUGUGGAGGAUGCCUUUAGGUAGCGUUUGGCUCGGGAACAAUGAGGAGUAAGUCCUUGUUCCCUCCUUUGUUUCCAAACGUGAUGUUUGGUAUCCGAAAAUAGUAAUUUUAGGAUUUCAAGAACAAACUGGUUUAAGAAUGGAAUUGUUGUUCCAUCUUUUUACUGAAAUUGUUGUUCAUUGAUGAGAACAAGAUUAAUUAAAAUUUAAAUUUAAUUUUAAUGAUAGUAAAUUAUUAAUUAAUCUAAUUUAUAUAUUUAAAUUAUUAUUUAUUACUUUAAUAAUUAAAUAAUUUAUUUAUNUAAUUAUUAAUAAUUAUUAUUAUUUAUUAAUAAAUAAUAAUAAUUAUUAUUAUUAUUAAUUAGAUAAUCGAUAUUAUUAUUCAUAAAAAUUAGAUAAUCGAUAUUGCUAUUAAUUUAUUAUUAAUAAUUAAUCAAUAAUAAUAAUUAAUAAUAAUAAUUUUUUAUUAAUAAUUAUCAAUUAUUAUUAUUAUUNUAAUUAUAUAAUAUAAUUUUAAUUUCAAAUUAUAACUCUUAUUCCUCUUGUUCCAAUCUAACUAUCCAAACACUAUUUAUCUUAUUCUUAAAAAUAAUUCAAUUUUCAUCCAAACGCAAAAUUGGUUUAGUUCUUGCUUAUACAUGAACUUAUACCUAUCCCUGAAACUAGCAGUUCCUACUCAUAUCCGAACCAAACACAGUCUUAAUGAAUACACUUCAUUGCCAUUGAUUUGCUAGCUCGUAGGUAUUAAUAUAUUAACAAUCUACAAAGACAACACUAAGCUAUUUGUAGUAAAUUGUUCGGUAAUAUU
Molecule: long non-coding RNA, 836 nt
Filed under: Ananas comosus (pineapple)
Lineage: Eukaryota; Viridiplantae; Streptophyta; Magnoliopsida; Poales; Bromeliaceae
Description: long non-coding RNA (ACOM_LNC006252)
Source: RNAcentral